CCGAAAAUGUCCGGGCUGAAACACCCCCUGCGAAGCUCAGAUACUGAUGUAUGUAGAGAGCAUGUAUACGGGACGAAGCAGUACCGAUAAGGAGCUGUGGACUGUAUAGAAGAGAAGAAUGCCGGAAUGAGUAGCGAGAGAAAGUGAGAAUCCUCCGGCCGAAUAUCUAAGGUUUCCAGAGUAAAGCUGAUCUGCUCUGGGUAAGUCGGGGCCUUAGGCCAGGUCGAAAGACGUAACCGAUGGACAACAGGUUGAAAUUCCUGUACCUUAAGUAAACAGAACUGUGGGGACACGUGUGGAGAGCACAAGCCGGAAAUGGAAAAGCCGGUGCAAGCGAGGUAGGAGUACAGUAGGCAAAUCCGCUGUACAAUCCGAAGACGUGAUGCGGACCGAAUUAAGAGUAGGGAAGUGUGUGAGCCAUGCGUCAAGAAAAGCCGCUAUUGUUUUACUUAAGCCCGUACCGUAAACCGACACAGGUGGAUGAGGAGAGAAUCCUAAGGCCGACGGGAGAAGCAUUGUUAAGGAACUCGGCAAAAUGACUCCGUAACUUCGGGAGAAGGAGUGCCAGCGAGAGCUGGCCGCAGAGAAUUGGCCCAAGCAACUGUUUAGCAAAAACACAGGUCUAUGCAAAACCGUAAGGUGAAGUAUAUGGGCUGACGCCUGCCCGGUGCUGGAAGGUUAAGAGGAGAGGUUAGCGGCAACGCGAAGCUUUGAAUUUAAGCCCCAGUAAACGGCGGCCGUAACUAUAACGGUCCUAAGGUAGCGAAAUUCCUUGUCGGGUAAGUUCCGACCCGCACGAAAGGCGUAAUGAUUUGGGCACUGUCUCAACAAUGCACCCGGUGAAAUUGAAAUACCAGUGAAGAUGCUGGUUACCUGCGCCAGGACGGAAAGACCCCAUGGAGCUUUACUCCAGCUUGAUACUGGGAUUCGGUAUUGCAUGUACAGGAUAGGUGGGAGGCUAGGAAGUGAUAACGCCAGUUGUCACGGAGCCGCUGUUGGGAUACCACCCUUGCAGUAUUGGAUUUCUAACCAGCGACCAUGAACUGGUCGGGGGACAAUGUCAGGUGGGGAGUUUGACUGGGGCGGUCGCCUCCGAAAGGGUAUCGGAGGCGCUCAAAGGUUCCCUCAGAAUGGACGGAAACCAUUCGAAGAGUGCAAAGGCAGAAGGGAGCUUGACUGCGACACCGACGGGUGGAGCAGGUACGAAAGUAGGACUUAGUGAUCCGGUGGUAUAAAGUGGGAUUGCCAUCGCUCAACGGAUAAAAGCUACCCUGGGGAUAACAGGCUUAUCACUCCCAAGAGUUCACAUCGACGGAGUGGUUUGGCACCUCGAUGUCGGCUCAUCGCAUCCUGGGGCUGAAGUAGGUCCCAAGGGUUGGGCUGUUCGCCCAUUAAAGCGGUACGCGAGCUGGGUUCAGAACGUCGUGAGACAGUUCGGUCCCUAUCCGGCGUGGGCGUAGGAUAUUUGAGAGGAGCUGUCCUUAGUACGAGAGGACCGGGAUGGACUGGCCGCUGGUGUAUCUGUUGCAUACCAAAUGCAUGGCAGAGUAGCCAAGCCGGGACGGGAUAAACGCUGAAGGCAUCUAAGCGUGAAGCCCCCCUCAAGAUGAGAUAUCCCUACGUAAGUAGUAAGACCCCUUGA
RNAcentral lists this ribosomal RNA (1642 nucleotides) under Dorea longicatena DSM 13814. Its description in RNAcentral is "bacterial LSU rRNA". It matches the Rfam family "Bacterial large subunit ribosomal RNA", at positions 1164 to 2841 of the family's 2925-position model. The record is from RNAcentral. Lineage: Bacteria; Bacillati; Bacillota; Clostridia; Lachnospirales; Lachnospiraceae.